UCCAAUCAGUGAAACUGAUCUUCCCGUGAAGAAGCGGGAAUAUACCUAUAAGACGAGAAGACCCCAUGGAGCUUUAAAUCCAACAGCACCUAUUACCCAUACAUCUUUAUAUUUUUUUAGCAAAUGCUCGUUCGGUUUUAGGUUGGGGUGACCAUGGAGUAAAAAAUAACCUCCACGAAAAAAGGCAUAAAACCCUUAUCAAAGAGCCACAUCUCUAUGAAUUAGUAAACUAAUUUCUGAUGAUCCGAUAUUCGAUCAACGAACCAAGUUACCCUGGGGAUAACAGCGCAAUCCGCCUUAAGAGCCCCUAUCGACAGGCGGGUUUACGACCUCGAUGUUGGAUCAGGGUAUCCCAGUGGUGCAACAGCUACUAAAGGUUCGUUUGUUCAACGAUUAAAACCCU
This 403-nucleotide ribosomal RNA is filed under the name Boophis picturatus. Its description in RNAcentral is "partial 16S ribosomal RNA". It matches the Rfam family "Bacterial large subunit ribosomal RNA", at positions 2028 to 2597 of the family's 2925-position model. The record is from RNAcentral. Lineage: Eukaryota; Metazoa; Chordata; Amphibia; Anura; Mantellidae.